CCGAGUUAGGGUGCUGAAAAAACGCGCCCGACCUCCAACCCUUUGCUUACUUGACCCUUUGUUGCUUCGGCAGGCCCGUCUUCGUGACCGCCGGGAGUCUCUGACGACUCUUGGUCCGCGCCUGCCGACGGCCCCAAUUAAACCCUUGCUUAAACGUGUCGUCUAAGUGAUUGUUAAAAAACAAAUAAUCAA
RNAcentral lists this unclassified non-coding RNA (192 nucleotides) under uncultured Herpotrichiellaceae. RNAcentral describes it as "sequence contains ITS1". The record is from RNAcentral. Lineage: Eukaryota; Fungi; Ascomycota; Eurotiomycetes; Chaetothyriales; Herpotrichiellaceae.